Stylophora pistillata is the source of this 725-nucleotide long non-coding RNA. Lineage: Eukaryota; Metazoa; Cnidaria; Anthozoa; Scleractinia; Pocilloporidae. The record is from RefSeq and is a predicted model, not a curated record.
CGCUGAAAAUAAUAACGAAUAAGAACCUCCUCUUUGCCCACGGCUGCUCCACAUGUAGACAAGAAUUGACAUGGGCCACCGUAAUUUUCGCUUACUUGAGGUCAUCAACAAAGGAAAAUCUUGCUUACUACGUAGAAAGUUGACAGAAAUAAUUGGGAGUCAUCAUUUCAAUAAUGGAUAUGCCAGAGAUAAAGUGAGAGGGAUGGAAAAAGCAUUGACUCAUGCAUGCAAAAGAUUAUUGCAAGUCAAGGGAAGGUUGCAAGGUUAAGGAGCAGAAUGCUACGCUGUCUUACUCGGCAACUUCACAAGAAUGGUUCCAUAUCUUGUGAGCUUCCUCCUAAUGGUCUGGAGAUGUGUUACAUGCAUCAGGCAGAGGUGAUGAUGAUGAUGAUGAUGAAGUGAGACAGAUGGAAGGCUCACAUGAAAAUGACUCGUGUAUUCAAAUGUGGAAAAUAAGCAGAAUAUAGCUUCUGAUUCUGCUUAUGAAAAUCUUGAAAUACAAUCAGAACUUACAGAGCACUCAACCUGAACAUACUGGCAAAAAUCCACCUGCCGAAAAGAGUGAUGAAAAGGAUAAUUACCAUGAAGCUAUUGUUUUAAAGCUACAGCCUUCAAGACCAGCUCCCACAAGGCCGCCACCAUAUGCUGUGUCAAGGAAAUUGAGCAAUAAAUCUGGGAGCGAAGUGGACCAUAAAUUGACAGAAAAGGUACAGUGCUGGCAUGUU